GGCUUCAUGGUCGCGUAGUAAAGACACUUAUCUCUCACACUGGAGUCCCGGAUUCGAUCCCCGGUCGAGGAGCUA
Molecule: transfer RNA, 75 nt
Filed under: Rhamnusium bicolor
Lineage: Eukaryota; Metazoa; Arthropoda; Insecta; Coleoptera; Cerambycidae
Description: tRNA-OTHER
Source: RNAcentral